Molecule: long non-coding RNA, 2488 nt
Organism: Panicum virgatum (switchgrass)
Lineage: Eukaryota; Viridiplantae; Streptophyta; Magnoliopsida; Poales; Poaceae
Exons: 3
Source: RefSeq, a predicted model, not a curated record
CCCAACCCACCCCGCUAAUCACGCCCUCUCCAUCCCCGUCGCUCCUCCUUGCCCAUCCGCACCAUCCGCAUCGUGCCGCCCUUCCCAUGCUCUCUCCCCCUCCGCCCCUAUGCCCUUUGCCUCCGCAGGGAGGAGGUUCUCCUUCGGGGAUGGCAGUGCCGCGACCGGGGACGGGCACGCUGAGCAAGGGAGCGUGGAGAUGGAGGCGGAUCGGGGACGGGAUCGCGCAGAUGAACGCGGGCAUCGCGUGGAGAUGGCGUCGGCCGGGGGCGGCAGCGACGACGGUCUCUUCCCCGGCAUUCAUCUCCUUCGGAUGCCUUCUCUCCGGUAAUCUCAAUUACUCUGCUGGCCGCCGUGUACGCCACGUCCUCGCCGUGCUGGUGGCGGAACAGAAGCAGCAGCCUCGACGGCGGGCGGGUGUACCGGAUGGCGCCUCUGCAGGAGGUGGUCGCAGGGUACCCGCUCGCAGACUGCGCCAUCUGCAUCGCGGAGGUCGCCGCGGGGGAGGCCGCCCCCAGCUGCCCGCUCUCCCGCCGCGCCGUCGUCGACGAGGAGGCGGCGGUGGCGGCGUGGUGCCCCCGCGGGCUGUAGCACCGGCACCCACAAACUAGGCUGAUGGCCUAUUGCCGGUGGCUGGGGAUGAACAGACCAUCCUUGAGAAGCCAGAUACCACCACUUCCCACAGGAACGGCUUGACAAUCUCUGCAGGUAGUUCCCUCUCUCGCUUUAGGGAAACUAUGUUUUCUUCACGUUUCUGAAUCAGUGUGAGCAGUCCACAUAUUAGGCUCUGUUAAAAUGAUAUAGCAUUCCUCAACAUGCAUCUGUGUUCAUAUUAAAUUGAUUAUAUUACAUUGUUGCAUAUUAUGGCUGUGGAAUUGGGAGCAUAUAGCAUUUUAGAGUUCACUCAUUUGCACACGCACUUUUCAAAUAAGAGAUAACUGCUCCUCUGUUGCAAAAAAAAAAGGUUGGACAAUGUCACUACUGUCAAAGAUACAACAUCUGAGGGUGAAAUCAGAGCAACUGCUUAGCUUCUAUGUCAAGAAUUUAACAAGUGUUCUUUAUUUAGGACUACUUUGUGGCCACAGCUCAUUGGAAAAAAAUACACAAUGUUUUUCUUCAAGGUUGGCAACUUGGCAUUAUUGGGAGCACCAGCCUUUGGCUUGCUGUUGUGUUUGGUUAGAGUUGCUCAGUUGUCUGAUUGCCUGGUUUUGUAAUUGAUCGUUUAUUGAUGAAAGAUUUAUUGUGUUCCAUUGGUUCAACUUUUCGGCACAUAAUAAAUUCAGUUAUGCUACUGUUAUUCCUCUGAUCCCGUGUUUCUGAAGAUCAAGCGUUUCCAUUUUGCAGGUUAACAUUUUCUAUUCCUCUUUACCACUGAUGUUAACAUUUUCCCCAUUAUAUUUGCAAACUUUUAAGUUGACAAGCCAAUCUAACUUUUUUUUAGUUUCUUAAUAUCAUGGGUUUGAUAAAUGCUUUCUAUUCUUUUGUUCUCUGUUACGUGGUAGACUUAGCAAUUUGCUUACUUAAAUCUGCAUCUGUUGAAUAUUUUAUAACAUACUUGUAUAUUUAAUGUCAGAAAUUAAAUGACUGAAGAUGAUCUGAAAGUUAGAAUUUGUUAUCUUCCACAUCUGCAGUAUAUGCUAUGCUGCUUAUUGUCCAUAAAUAGCAUGGCUGCCAGUUACCAAAUGGUAAAGCUGGAUUUGUAGACAGCUUGUGAUUGGUCAUACUCAUACACUGUAACGACCUUGUUUAGAGGAUCUACACCUUCACGGCAUGCCUGUUUGCCGGACUCGCCUUGACAAUCUUGGUACGCUUCUGCAAUUUAUUGCCAACACGGUUCUCAGAGUUUGUAGGGAAAAAAUGAGAAGGGACAGGUUUUUUGAAUUGGGCUCAACCUUGGAACCAGGGAAACCUGUAAAAAGCUGACAAAGCUGCUAUCCUAAGCGAUGCUACUCGCAUGGUUAUUCAGAUUCGCUCUGAAGCGCAGCAGCUCGAGGACACCAAUGGUAAUCUUGAAGAAAAGAUUAAGGAACUAAAGGUCGCGGUCGUGAUGAGAAGCAGAAGCUGAAACUAGAGGAGAGUUUAGAGCACCAAAUGAAGCUUAUGACCUCAACUCCAGCCUACAUGCCUUAUCCAACCCUGAUGCCAGCGCCCUUCCUGCAGGCUCCGCUAGCACUGUUCCAUCCCAGGCGAAAGCUGCAGGGCAGAAGCUGACGGUGCCCUUUGUUGGCCAUCCAGGAUACCCAAUGUGGCAGUUCAUGCCACCUAUUGAAGUCGACACCUCGAAGGACAGUGAAAACAAUUAGACUUAUGUAGAGAAAUUUGAUUAGAAUUGUAAUAUUACAUUUUAAUUUUAAUUUAAUUAGCUAUGCAUGGCAAGUAUCAUCUCCUGUCUUAUACAGGAAUUAGCUUUACCACUUCUUUCCUAUUUGCAAUAAUUUAAACAUACAUUAUGUUUUUCCUAAAUUAGCACUACCUUUUUUAAUCGUAA